Molecule: microRNA precursor, 103 nt
Filed under: Marmota monax (woodchuck)
Lineage: Eukaryota; Metazoa; Chordata; Mammalia; Rodentia; Sciuridae
Source: RNAcentral
AGUGGGAUAGCUGAGUCAAAUAGUGGUUCCAGUCCAGCUUUUCUGAGGAAUCGUCAUAUUGCUUUCCAUAAUGGUUGCACCAAUUUGCAGUCCCACCAGCAAU